Molecule: ribosomal RNA, 474 nt
Filed under: uncultured bacterium
Lineage: Bacteria
Description: bacterial SSU rRNA
Rfam family: Bacterial small subunit ribosomal RNA
Source: RNAcentral
ACUCCUACGGGAGGCAGCAGUGGGGAAUAUUGGACAAUGGGGGAAACCCUGAUCCAGCCAUGCCGCGUGUGUGAAGAAGGCCUUCGGGUUGUAAAGCACUUUCAGUGGGGAGGAAAGGUUGAUGGUUAAUACCUAUCAGCUGUGACGUUACCCACAGAAGAAGCACCGGCUAACUCUGUGCCAGCAGCCGCGGUAAUACAGAGGGUGCGAGCGUUAAUCGGAUUUACUGGGCGUAAAGCGUGCGUAGGCGGCUUUUUAAGUCGGAUGUGAAAUCCCUGAGCUUAACUUAGGAAUUGCAUUCGAUACUGGGGAGCUAGAGUAUGGGAGAGGAUGGUAGAAUUCCAGGUGUAGCGGUGAAAUGCGUAGAGAUCUGGAGGAAUACCGAUGGCGAAGGCAGCCAUCUGGCCUAAUACUGACGCUGAGGUACGAAAGCAUGGGGAGCAAACAGGAUUAGAUACCCUGGUAGCUACGAGU